RNAcentral lists this ribosomal RNA (627 nucleotides) under uncultured fungus. RNAcentral's name for it is "eukaryotic LSU rRNA". It matches the Rfam family "Eukaryotic large subunit ribosomal RNA", at positions 24 to 664 of the family's 3401-position model. Lineage: Eukaryota; Fungi. The record is from RNAcentral.
CCCGCUGAACUUAAGCAUAUCAAUAAGCGGAGGAAAAGAAACCAACAGGGAUUGCCCUAGUAACGGCGAGUGAAGCGGCAACAGCUCAAAUUUGAAAUCUGGCCUCUCCGGGGCCCCGAGUUGAUAUUUUGCAGAGCGUGCUUUGCGCGGGGCCGUGGUCUAUGCUCCUUGGCACAGGCCGCCACAGAGGGUGAGACUCCCGUAUGUGGCCGCCAGUCUUCGCCGUGUAAUGCCCCUUCGACGAGUCGAGUUGUUUGGGAAUGCAGCUCUAAAUGGGAGGUAAAUUUCAUCUAAAGCUAAAUAUUGGCCAGAGACCGAUAGCGCACAAGUAGAGUGAGCGAAAGAUGAAAAGCACUUUGGAAAGAGAGUCAAAAAGCACGUGAAAUUGUUGAAAGGGAAGCGCUUGCAGCCAGACUCGCCUGUAGUUGCUUAGCUAGGCUUUUGCCUGGUGUACUCUUCUGCAUGCAGGCCAGCAUCAGUCCGGGCGGUCGGAUAAAGGCGUAUUAAAGGUACCUCUCCCCGGGGAGGUCUUAUAGGCUAGUUGCCAUGCCCCCAUCGUGGAUUGAGGUCCGCGCGUCUCCUAGGAUGCUGGCGUAAUGGCUGUAAGCGACCCGUCUUGAAACACGG